This 241-nucleotide long non-coding RNA is filed under the name Manihot esculenta (cassava). RNAcentral describes it as "long non-coding RNA (MESC_LNC002134)". The record is from RNAcentral. Lineage: Eukaryota; Viridiplantae; Streptophyta; Magnoliopsida; Malpighiales; Euphorbiaceae.
CUCAAGAGGAACAAGGUAUUAUAUUUCUGAGCUCGCAACAAUGACGAGAUCGUGAGCCAAAAACAGAAAUGCCCUCAUGAGAAUAAGAAAAACUCGCAAGUCAGAAGCUUAACCAGACUCCGAACUCUUAGCCCGGAUCGGUUCGACCAGUAAAGACCCAGUAGAGCCGGCCUGGUCAUUAGUGGAGCCUAAGUAUUUACCCCUUCACCAGUUAUGGAAUAACUGCUGAGGAGGUAAAGGG